UGGGGAAUAUUGGACAAUGGGGGGAACCCUGAUCCAGCGAUGCCGCGUGGGUGAAGAAGGCCUUCGGGUUGUAAAGCCCUUUAGGUUGGGAAGAAAGGUAUUAGGUUAAGAGCUAGAUACUGUGACGGUACUAACAGAAUAAGCACCGGCAAACUCUGUGCCAGCAGCCGCGGUAAUACAGAGGGUGCGAGCGUUAAUCGGAAUUACUGGGCGUAAAGGGCGCGUAGGCGGUGAUACGAGUGUGAUGUGAAAGCCCCGGGCUUAACCUGGGAAGAGCAUCGCAAACUGUAUUAGCUGGAGUAUAUGAGAGGGUGGCGGAAUUUCCGGUGUAGCGGUGAAAUGCGUAGAGAUCGGAAGGAACGUCGAUGGCGAAGGCAGCCACCUGGCAUGAUACUGACGCUGAGGCGCGAAAGCGUGGGGAGCGAACAGGAUUAGAUACCCCCGUAGUCC
This 450-nucleotide ribosomal RNA is filed under the name uncultured bacterium. Its description in RNAcentral is "bacterial SSU rRNA". It matches the Rfam family "Bacterial small subunit ribosomal RNA", at positions 355 to 796 of the family's 1533-position model. The record is from RNAcentral.